GUCUAUGGCCAUGCCACUCUGAGCAGGCCCGACCCUGUCUGAUCUCGGAAGCUAAGCAGGGUCGGGCCUGGUUAGUACUUGGAUGGGAGACCACCUAGGAAGAUCAGGUGCUAUAGGUG
This 119-nucleotide ribosomal RNA is filed under the name Pteropus alecto (black flying fox). The record is from RNAcentral. Lineage: Eukaryota; Metazoa; Chordata; Mammalia; Chiroptera; Pteropodidae.